Molecule: ribosomal RNA, 265 nt
Filed under: uncultured archaeon
Lineage: Archaea
Description: partial 16S ribosomal RNA
Rfam family: Archaeal small subunit ribosomal RNA
Source: RNAcentral
AGUCACUGACAUUAGAUACCCCGGUAGUCCUAGCCGUAAACGAUACUCGCUAGGUGUCGGCCACGGUGCGACCGUUGUCGGUGCCGUAGGGAAGCCGUGAAGCGAGCCACCUGGGAAGUACGGCCGCAAGGCUGAAACUUAAAGGAAUUGGCGGGGGAGCACAACAACGGGUGGAGCUUGCGGUUUAAUUGGAUUCAACGCCGGAAAUCUUACCGGGACCGACAGCAACAUGAAGGCCAGACUGAAGACUUUGCCGGAUUAGCUG